Molecule: ribosomal RNA, 250 nt
Filed under: uncultured archaeon
Lineage: Archaea
Also listed under: 1 other name
Description: partial 16S ribosomal RNA
Rfam family: Archaeal small subunit ribosomal RNA
Source: RNAcentral
UACCCGCAGCCCAAGUGGUGGUCGAUAUUAUUGAGUCUAAAACGUUCGUAGCCUGUUCAAUAAAUCCUUGGGUAAAUCGGUGAGCUUAACUUACCGACUUCCGAGGCGACUGUUGAACUUGGGACCGGGAGAGGCAAGAGGUACUUCUGGGGUAGGGGUAAAAUCCUGUAAUCCUAGAAGGACCACCGGUGGCGAAGGCGUCUUGCUAGAACGGAUCCGACGGUGAGGGACGAAGCCCUGGGGCGCAAAC